GUUCCUGGCGGAAAACAUAGUCUCUUCCUUCCUACACAUCUAAGAACCAUGUUUCCUGGGGAGACCUGUAGGGACCCGUGUGUUCCAGAAAGACCUAAGAUCCAUCCCUUCAGCUAGUAGACACUUUUUUCAUGUGCCCCUUGGAUCCAGUUUGAAUGAGGAGCUCAUCGUGACUUGUGGACUUAAAAGGGGACGGAUGGACGGCAUAGAGGGAAAUGGCUACCAGUGAAAUCAGAGGACAAUGUGUCUCAGCAUUUUAAAACUUCGGUUACGUCUGUGCUACUGAAGGAAAGAAUGCAUCUCCAAUCAACGUAAUGAGUCAAUCCCCAAGGUAACUUCCUCGGGGUCCUUGAUGGUGUAGACAUCAUUGUGGAAAGAGAACCGGACGCUCUUCUCGGGUCCUCGUGGAGGGGACGGCGUGGGUGGGGGCGUCUCCACAUCCUCGAGGAGACACUCCGCACAGAUUUCUGUGAGACGCACAGAAAUAGAGAGCAGUGUCAGUACCUUGUCGUCAGGAGCCCAUAGGGGGAUUGGACGUCCUUUCCUUCUAGUCCAUCCGUCUCCUGCCCCUCCUCGCCAGCUGCCCAGCAGGCAUUCCUCCCUCCAGGUGGGACUUAGGAAGAGGUCACCGUGUGCUGUGCUCUGAAUUCCGCCCCCUCCCACACCCACAGGUGCCGUGGGCAACGGCUUGUAUGGAGCAGGGACAGGACAGAAAC
Molecule: long non-coding RNA, 716 nt
Organism: Mustela erminea (ermine)
Lineage: Eukaryota; Metazoa; Chordata; Mammalia; Carnivora; Mustelidae
Exons: 2
Source: RefSeq, a predicted model, not a curated record